CAUGGAUAGGUCUUGUGUGUGCGUAGGAAAUUUUUUGAUUCCCAUGCAACGUUCCCCAAAAGUAUCAACAAUCAGGUCCAUCACCCUAAUCCUGGUGUGGGUAUCUAUGUGGUGCAAAAUAUUGAUAGAAUACCCCCUGAUCAUCUUAUCAUCACCUAACUUAGGCAUCAAGGUGUACCUCAUUAUAGUGUUGGUGGUG
This 199-nucleotide long non-coding RNA is filed under the name Hordeum vulgare. RNAcentral's name for it is "long non-coding RNA (HVUL_LNC004106)". The record is from RNAcentral. Lineage: Eukaryota; Viridiplantae; Streptophyta; Magnoliopsida; Poales; Poaceae.